RNAcentral lists this ribosomal RNA (497 nucleotides) under uncultured bacterium. RNAcentral describes it as "partial 16S ribosomal RNA". It matches the Rfam family "Bacterial small subunit ribosomal RNA", at positions 28 to 507 of the family's 1533-position model. The record is from RNAcentral.
GACGAACGCUGGCGGCGUGCCUAAUACAUGCAAGUUGAGCGCUGAAGGUUGGUACUUGUACCAACUGGAUGAGCAGCGAACGGGUGAGUAACGCGUGGGGAAUCUGCCUUUGAGCGGGGGACAACAUUUGGAAACGAAUGCUAAUACCGCAUAAAAACUUUAAACACAAGGUUUAAGUUUGAAAGAUGCAAUUGCAUCACUCAAAGAUGAUCCCGCGUUGUAUUAGCUAGUUGGUGAGGUAAAGGCUCACCAAGGCGAUGAUACAUAGCCGACCUGAGAGGGUGAUCGGCCACAUUGGGACUUAGACACGGCCCAAACUCCUACGGGAGGCAGCAGUAGGGAAUCUUCGGCAAUGGACGAAAGUCUGACCGAGCAACGCCGCGUGAGUGAAGAAGGUUUUCGGAUCGUAAAACUCUGUUGGUAGAGAAGAAAGUUGGUGAGAGUGGAAAGCUCAUCAAGUGACGGUAACUACCCAGAAAGGGACGGCUAACUACGUG